AGAGAGGAAAAAGAAAAAAACUGCCGCAAACAAAAGAAAACCUAAACCUUGUUCAGCGGGAAAUCCAGAAGCCUAACUUUCCAUCUUCUCUUCCACUUUCUUCCUCUGUGAAUCUCCCUAAACCCUAUUCACCUGAAAAUCCAUAAACCUAACUUUCAAUCUUCUCUUCCACUUUCUUCCUCUGUGGAUCUCCUUUCUCAUUCUUGGUUGUUGUUUAUUCAACUUGAGCUCGCGAAAGAAUCUCUCCCGUUUCUCUUCUCGGAGCCCUAGGUUUUUUUUUUUUUUUUUGGUUCUUUCGCUGUCUAAUCUGAUCAACUUUAUUUUUGUUUGUUGCAGAGAUUAAUGCCAUUUGUUAAUUAAUUUUACGAGUUUCGCUUGGGUGUUGGAAGGUAAAAUUCCAUGCUAUUGCAAGAAGAUGGAAGAUUAAUUUGGGUGUUGCUUCCUCUGCUGUAGGUGAUGCAAUCAAGUGUGAUUUGGGGGUUUUAUGGAUUAACUUGCAGUGAGUCUCUUGCUUUCUGGUUUAAUUCCACAGCUAAAGGAGGAAGAAGAAGUUGAAGAAUGGCGAGAGAAAACAGAAAGAAGUCUGGACCAAAAAUGUUUUGGGUUUUAGGAAGAAAAGCAUGAUCAGAAAGAUGAUGACGAGGAAUAGAAGAAAAAGAAUGGACACAACAAAACUAAUGUUGACCUUGAGUUUGGGAUGAAACUCUUUGGAAGUAAGUCUGCGAGUACAUGGCAAUCAGUUCUAUGAAAAUGUAUCAUACUAUAUGAAAAUUCAGAUUCGAUAGGUUGAUACAGCUCAUGCAUACUCGCACAAAACUGAAACACAUCAUUUCUGACAUACCAACAAACGUUCCUUUUUGGGGUGACGAUUGUCAGUGUCUAAAUUCUUUUUCAAAAUGUAUAACAUUAGUUGGAAAAUUCUUAUCUCAAGCAGACCCUGAUAGAAAGAUGGUAUACUUGCUGCAAAGGAGGUACUCCCUACCCCCUUCGCAUUAUUGGUUUUAAUUUUAUGUUUUAUUCUAUUAGCCAAAAACCGUUUGACAGCAACAAGGAGUUGUAGUGUUAGAAAUCCAACCGUUUGACAGCAACCGUUUACAACAGUAAAUAUGGGGGGUUCCUUGGAAGCUAUUAGCUGGUUUAUUAAAUGGAAACGGAGAUCGGCAUAAAAGAUUAUCCAAAAACAAAACUAAGCACUGAUGCAUCAAGUUCUUGGGUAGCGAUAUGAAUUACUAACAACGGUACCUGACAAGUUGGUUUGUCAUGGAUGUGGCUUCCACAGUCCUAUUUGAGAUUUUAUGUAUAUCUCCUAUUCCACAGUCCUAUUUUCACAAGAAUAGCACAAUCUAUUCCUUAAACUGAGCACACUAUAUAAAUUUCGAGUACUUGAAAGGUUAAAAUGUCAUUGCCGCUUGAUUGUUGUUAUCACUUUAUGUUACCAGUCUUGAAAAGGACAUUAGAUUCAGUUAUUUCUGGAUUAUUUCGAUUGAUAUGGCAUCGCUUAACAUUGGAACUGACUUAUCCUGGAGAUUUCGAAGAACAACUUAUCAUGGAGAAUUCGAAAAAAGGCUAAUAGCUGUGGUCGAUGAUAAAUGAGAAGUGAGGAAAUGUAAUACUCUUUACUAAUGAGGCUCACCUACUGAGUGAAGCAGGGGGGAUCAUUCUCUUGAUGCCGAAAAUGUAUUAAAUGCUUAUUAUCUUUAUUCAUGACAUCUUGUACCUUUUUGACCGGAAGGUUAUUAUCUUUAUUUUGAGGACGUUAUGUGGUACGAAACAGUUAAUUAGUGUAACAAGUGGUUAAGUAAUUUGAUUCGUGUAUCAUUGACCAAUGUUAGUAUGAAUUGUAUGGGAUAUUAUCAGACCUGCAACUCAUGUAUUGCAUUGAUUCAUCAGUGUAACUCAUGUUUUUAAUUUUUGUGAAUGUAAUCCAGCAAUUCCGUGAAA
Molecule: long non-coding RNA, 1941 nt
Organism: Papaver somniferum (opium poppy)
Lineage: Eukaryota; Viridiplantae; Streptophyta; Magnoliopsida; Ranunculales; Papaveraceae
Exons: 11
Source: RefSeq, a predicted model, not a curated record